RNAcentral lists this ribosomal RNA (301 nucleotides) under uncultured bacterium. RNAcentral describes it as "partial 16S ribosomal RNA". It matches the Rfam family "Bacterial small subunit ribosomal RNA", at positions 509 to 807 of the family's 1533-position model. The record is from RNAcentral.
CAGCCGCCGCGGUAAUACAGAGGGUGCGAGCGUUAAUCGGAUUUACUGGGCGUAAAGCGUGCGUAGGCGGCUUUUUAAGUCGGAUGUGAAAUCCCUGAGCUUAACUUAGGAAUUGCAUUCGAUACUGGGAAGCUAGAGUAUGGGAGAGGAUUGUAGAAUUCCAGGUGUAGCGGUGAAAUGCGUAGAGAUCUGGAGGAAUACCGAUGGCGAAGGCAGCCAUCUGGCCUAAUACUGACGCUGAGGUACGAAAGCAUGGGGAGCAAACAGGAUUAGAGACCCGCGUAGUCCCUGUCUCUUAUAC